RNAcentral lists this ribosomal RNA (361 nucleotides) under uncultured bacterium. Its description in RNAcentral is "bacterial SSU rRNA". It matches the Rfam family "Bacterial small subunit ribosomal RNA", at positions 29 to 416 of the family's 1533-position model. The record is from RNAcentral.
AACGAACGCUGGCGGCAUGCCUAACACAUGCAAGUCGAACGAGACCUUCGGGUCUAGUGGCGCACGGGUGCGUAACGCGUGGGAAUCUGCCCUUGGGUUCGGAAUAACAGUUAGAAAUGACUGCUAAUACCGGAUAAUGUCUUCGGACCAAAGAUUUAUCGCCCAGGGAUGAGCCCGCGUAGGAUUAGCUAGUUGGUGAGGUAAAGGCUCACCAAGGCGACGAUCCUUAGCUGGUCUGAGAGGAUGAUCAGCCACACUGGAACUGAGACACGGUCCAGACUCCUACGGGAGGCAGCAGUGGGGAAUAUUGGGACAAUGGGCGAAAGCCUGAUCCAGCCAUGCCGCGUGUGUGAAGAAGGCC